RNAcentral lists this ribosomal RNA (440 nucleotides) under uncultured bacterium. RNAcentral's name for it is "partial 16S ribosomal RNA". It matches the Rfam family "Bacterial small subunit ribosomal RNA", at positions 338 to 795 of the family's 1533-position model. The record is from RNAcentral.
CCUACGGGAGGCAGCAGUGGGGAAUAUUGCACAAUGGGGGAAACCCUGAUGCAGCGACGCCGCGUGAGUGAAGGAGUAUUUCGGUAGGUAAAGCUCUAUCAGCAGGGAAGAAAAUGACGGUACCUGACUAAGAAGCCCCGGCUAACUACGUGCCAGCAGCCGCGGUAAUACGUAGGGGGCAAGCGUUAUCCGGAUUUACUGGGUGUAAAGGGAGCGUAGACGGCGCGGCAAGUCUGAAGUGAAAGGCAGGGGCGUAACCCCUGAACUGCUUUGGAAACUGCCAUGCUAGAGUGCAGUAUAGGUAAGCGGAAUUCCUAGUGUAGCGGUGAAAUGCGUAGAUAUUAGGAGGAACACCAGUGGCGAAGGCGGCUUACUGGACUGUAACUGACGUUGAGGCUCGAAAGCGUGGGGAGCAAACAGGAUUAGAUACCCCUGUAGUC